AUUGAACGCUGGCGGCACGCUUUACACAUGCAAGUCGAACGGCAGCGCGGGGCAACCUGGCGGCGAGUGGCGAACGGGUGAGUAAUAUAUCGGAACGUACCCAGAAGUGGGGGAUAACGUAGCGAAAGUUACGCUAAUACCGCAUACGAUCUACGGAUGAAAGUGGGGGACCUUCGGGCCUCAUGCUUGUGGAGCGGCCGAUAUCUGAUUAGCUAGUUGGUAGGGUAAAGGCCUACCAAGGCGACGAUCAGUAGCUGGUCUGAGAGGACGACCAGCCACACUGGGACUGAGACACGGCCCAGACUCCUACGGGAGGCAGCAGUGGGGAAUUUUGGACAAUGGGCGCAAGCCUGAUCCAGCAAUGCCGCGUGAGUGAAGAAGGCCUUCGGGUUGUAAAGCUCUUUUGUCAGGGAAGAAACGGGACUGGAUAAUACCUGGUCCUAAUGACGGUACCUGAAGAAUAAGCACCGGCUAACUACGUGCCAGCAGCCGCCGUAA
Molecule: ribosomal RNA, 498 nt
Filed under: uncultured bacterium
Lineage: Bacteria
Description: partial 16S ribosomal RNA
Rfam family: Bacterial small subunit ribosomal RNA
Source: RNAcentral